AUUCCGUGUAUAUUUUUUCACACUUUCCCCUGCAUAAUUAAUCUUUAUUAAGGGUUACUCCAAGAGUUACAAUUUAAAUGCACUAUCAGGCUGACCAUUGAAUUAUUUCACUGCAAAUGGAUCUAAAUUAUUAUCAUGUGAAUAAAAAACAGAGUCAAAAAGAUUUGCAAAUUGCUUAUUAACCUCAAUCAAGUUGGAAGCAUGUUUCAAUGAUUGAUAAUUGAGUGAAUUAACUAUUUACCAAAUUAAUUUUGUAAAGGUUGAACAGAGUUAAGCCUCAACAAUUAACUGAAAAGUAAAACGAAAAGCUGAUAACCUUGGAUUCAUUUUUGCAUUCAAGUUAAUCAACAAAUUAACCAGUUUUUACACCAAAAAACAAUGUUUUUUCUGGUAAAAGUGUGAAAAAUGUUCGUUUUUGAUGAUUGAGUAUUGCUUUCAAUUAAAGAAGAUUCUGUUUUAAAACUCAAAACAACAACAAAAUUAUUACUUGAGCCAUAUAACGAGGCUCCCAUUAAUUUAAAUAGUAAUUAAAGUGUCUCAACAAUUUAGCUCUUGUUAUAUCUGCAUCAAUGUGUACUGUAAAUCAAUUCUUAUCAUUUUGAAGAGUAGAUGAAUUUUGUUCCGGGAUGAUGAUUACAAUCAAUUGAAUUGUAUUAGAGACUGAUUCAUACACAUUCACAGUCAUAACAACUUUUUGAGUUAACUAGAUUAAAAUGUAACCAAGCAAUUUGAACAGCAAAUUGUCUUUUAAUGGCAGACUGAUCAAUUAUCUUGUUAAAUAUUGCUGAUCCUGUGAACAAUAAAGACAUGUUUUACAUUUGAUUAUGUGCAUUUAAUUGUCUAACAAUUGUUGUAAAUCAAUUAUGUCUUGCUUUUUUAAUGGCAAAGGUUCGUCUUCAUUUCGCCAUUCAGUUUUUUUUUCCUUGUUCAUUCCUUCAAUCAUUCCAACUAUUUCGCUGUUUUACAACUAAUAGCAAUUGAAUAAACAAUAAUAAUCAUUGUACUAAUAAGAAGUAUGAUUUAUAUUGAUUAAGAUUUAAGCUAAUGAUGAGCCAAAUAAAAAAAACUUACAUUUGAUGACAAUUUAAAUUGUUUGGGUUUGUACAAAAUGUAAUUUAUGUUGUUUCCCCAGGAAUUGAAGGUAAAAAAGCGGGAGAUGAGCAAUUGUGCUUUUUGGUAACCAAGCUAAACCAAACAAUAACCAUCAAUUAUAGUGAUACUAUCUGUUUAAUUGAGUCUGUUUUAUUUUAUUAUUGUCUAAUUAAUUUACAUUUUAAUCGACAUUACAGUAAAUUUUCUAGUGCAAUCACAAUUAACCCAAAUAAAAUCAAUCCUAUCCACCAAAGUCUGCUUAAACAAGAUGCUUAUGGUUCACCACUUGAUGAUUGUUACCCUUGAAAGUGUCAAUGAUCAUCUAGUUGCAAUUGUUUCCAGUUAUGAAGACAACAAUCAACAAUUGCUGAUCUAAUGCUGGUUUGCCAAAAAUGGCUAUAAAGUAUUGUGUAAAAUGUAUACACUUGUCUUUAUGCUUUGUUUUGGAAUCGUGAUUGUAUUUUUUUAUCAUCAUAAUAUGGUUACUUUGGAUUAACACUUCAAGAUGUUGAAUAUUAAAGGAUUAAAGCUUUUGAUUGCGGGCCUUGAAUUCAAGAAAUGAACAAAAAGCAAGAGUUUGCCAGAGAUGCAUACAGAGUAUUGUCCAGUGCAAGGGAUGGAAAACUUGGUGAAAGAGGUGAAACUUUCACUGACAAGCAAUCAUCAUAUGAAUUUAUAAUGGUAAUCAAAUGUUAAAUUUUGGAUUUCCUUUCAAUAGGAGAUUGAAAUUUCAUGCCUAUUAUUGUUAUAACGGGUUAAGGAACCUUCUAAUUCUUCAAAAUCCUUGGAGCUGAAGCUAACUCGCCUACGGAUAUAAUGAUAGUUGUCAUCAACAUUCCUCAUUAUUUCUUUAUUAUAAUCAUUAUAACAAAAGGCAAGAUAAUGCUUGGACUCACUAAAGUAGUUGAGGUAGAUUGUGAUGGUGAUGAUGAUGAAAAGGUUUUAAUCUUGAAAAUUGUUUCCAUCUUAGAUUGCAACUUUGAAUGGUGUUCAUCAUGAUGAUUGCUGCUACCUAAAUUAGUCAUUAAACAUUGUUUAAUAGAACUAUGACUCGUCUCUGAAUCAUAAUCCGACAAUUGGCUAAUGAACAUAUACGAACUGCUGAUUUAUGUUUUGACUCAUUUAUAACCAAUUAAUAUUACCGAUCUUCAAAUAUGCCGUUCAAAUACCGUACUGUUAAGUCGUAAUGGUCAAGUAAUUGUGCCAAUCUAGCUUGAGAAAGUAAAACUGUUUCGAUUGCUGCAAUUAAACUGUAGAGGGGAUGAUCCUGAUCAAGCUAAUUCUACUAUCAAAUUCAGCGAUUUAUUAAACCUUUAAAAUAGUGAUUGAGCUAGUUUAGCAUCAGUUUUUUGGCCUUAAACCUUUUACACUUGUAAAAUUAAUUGAUUUAAUUGUAUUUCUAUUUCUGGUAAUUUGACUUUUUAUUGUAAAGCAGCACCUGAUCUUUCUUAAUCAACUGGUAUUGCUGAUGUUUAGGUGAAAAGUCAGUUAUCCCGAAAAGAUGUUCCUUUCAACAAUUGUAACUCCUUUUAAUGGCAAUUUGUUUCAAUGUAUUUUUGUAUUGUAAUAGCAUAAUUGAUUCUCUUUAGCCUUUAAAUCAUUAGUUGAGAUUAACCUUUACUUUGCUAAAUGUUUACUAUUAAAAGAUGAAAAGUUCAAA
Molecule: long non-coding RNA, 2752 nt
Organism: Tetranychus urticae (two-spotted spider mite)
Lineage: Eukaryota; Metazoa; Arthropoda; Arachnida; Trombidiformes; Tetranychidae
Source: RefSeq, a predicted model, not a curated record